This 932-nucleotide long non-coding RNA is filed under the name Homo sapiens (human). Its description in RNAcentral is "novel transcript, antisense to NMNAT2". Lineage: Eukaryota; Metazoa; Chordata; Mammalia; Primates; Hominidae. The record is from RNAcentral.
GCCUCUCUAGAGCAUGCUGGGAGGAUGGGCACCAGAGCCGCCUCCCCAGAGCGUGCUGGGAGGAUGGGCACCAGAGCCGCCUCUCUAGAGCAUGCUGGGAGACGGACACCAGUACAUCUCCAAGGACUGCACUUCCCCCGACUCCCACCCCAUUCCCUCACCCACCCCCAACCCGGAGACUAGAGGAAAGUCUGUCCAAAGAUGACUGUGGAAUAGGGAAUGCCAUGGUUCUCUGCAGGUCCCCCACACUAUGGGGGGUUAAGUCAGCAAGUAGGGAAAACAGUCAAGACGAGGAGAUGGAGAAACAGAGAGGCAGGAGAGAAACAGGGGGCUGACAAAGAUGGAGGGGCCAUUGUGUUGCCGGAGGACGAGGGGCUGCUAGCCGGAGGCAUUGAUGUACAGCUGGCUUUUGAGGAUGUAGUCGAUGACCGGCUGGGACAGGUAAUCCACAACAUGGCCGUCCCCAUGCUGCAGGGCCAGCCUGCACAAGAAGAGAUGACAAUCAGAUGGACAUCCACACCCAAAGCAAGUCAGGAGGACUGGCAUGCCCCUGUCUCCCCAGCACCCCAUUUGUAGCCUUUUCUCAGGUUGAGUAAAUAGUUCUGUAUUAGGAAAGGCCCUCUUGCCUCCACAACUCCUUCCCCACCUUGGUGACAUCAUUCAUCGUGGUUCUGCCACUUCCUAGACCCUGCACUUGAUGGACCAGCUGGCACCACCCAGAUCAAUAAACUGGCUUAUUUGAAUUUGCGGCCCCCCACCCAGGAACUGACUCAGUGCAAGAAGACAGCUUCGACUCCCUGUGAUUUCAUCUCUGACCAAUCCGCACUCCUGGCUCACUGGCUUCCCCAACCCAUGAAGUUUUCCUUAAAAACUCUGCUCCCGAAAUGCUCAGGGAGACUGAUUUGAUAACAAUAAAACUCUGGUCUCCCGCA